GCCAUUUGCUACACUGUUGGUGCAAAAUGUAACUUGGGCAGCAGAAAUGGUGGAAAACAGUGUGAUUGACUUCCUUUGGAGGAGAAGGUGCUUUAAGAGCAAUCUCUCCUCGAAUGGGCGGGGCGGGAGUGAAGUGGGCGGGGCCAGAGCGAGGGGGCGUGGCAUUCUCUACGCCCGCCCUCCUUGGAGGAGAGAUUGCCUUUCAGUCUUCAAUGUCUUCGCGAGGCUGGGCAAAGCGAGGCGUCGUGAGCAGCAAGAAGGGAGAUCAGAGCCGUGCAGAACAAAGCUCUGUCACAACGGUGUUUCCUGGUUGUCGCCUCCUGCCUGCAAGUGGCUGAAGGCUUUCCCCGGCUUGAUAUCAUCAUGCAGAAAAGGAUGAAGGCGACGCAAUGAGCGGUUCAGGUACUGACGGAGUCCCAGUCAGAUGCUUCCUUAUGGAAUUCUUACCUCCUUUUUGUUGGCUGAACACAAAAUAGUAACUGUGGGAGCACAAGAACCACUUUGGGUAUUGGAUUUUAGACUGGACCAUUGGACAGCGUGACUUACCUGGCUG
Molecule: long non-coding RNA, 553 nt
Filed under: Anolis carolinensis (green anole)
Lineage: Eukaryota; Metazoa; Chordata; Lepidosauria; Squamata; Anolidae
Description: lncRNA (ENSACAG00000036083.1)
Source: RNAcentral